GAUGAAGAACGUAGCGAAAUGCGAUAAGUAAUGUGAAUUGCAGAAUUCAGUGAAUCAUCGAAUCUUUGAACGCACAUUGCGCCCAUUAGCAUUCUAGUGGGCAUGCCUGUUCGAGCGUCAUUUCAACCCUUAAGCCCUGUUGCUUAGCGUUGGGAGCCUACAGUACUGUAGCUCCCCAAAGUUAGUGGCGGAGUCGGUUUCACACUCUAGACGUAGUAAUUUUUUCUCGUCUGUAGUUGAGCCGGUCCCCUGCCGUAAAACACCCAAUUUAUCAUGGUUGACCUCGGAUCAGGUAGGAAUACCCGCUGAACUUAAGCAUAUCAAUAAGCGGAGGA
This 335-nucleotide unclassified non-coding RNA is filed under the name soil metagenome. RNAcentral describes it as "partial contains 5.8S ribosomal RNA, internal transcribed spacer 2, and large subunit ribosomal RNA". The stretch from base 1 to 120 matches the Rfam family "5.8S ribosomal RNA", at positions 35 to 154 of the family's 154-position model. The record is from RNAcentral.